CCCCUCUAACUUUAAAUUUUAUAUUGACAGGAUUUUUUACCAACAGUAUUUAUAUUUCACUACCUUCUUAUUAUUUCUUCUAAAAUAUAAAUUAUUUUGUGGACUUCCAAUUUAAUUUGGCAAUGUAUUAUUCAUACCCACAUAAUCCUAACAAAAGAAGCCGGUAGAAAUGUACAGAUAUACAGUAUUUUGGAAAAAAACAAUUAUUGUCUACCUAUCGCACAAACAAACUAUUGUGUGCUACUAAGCUUCUGUGCCACACAAUUCAAUAAGACGACUUCUACAAUCGUUUUCUUAAUUAUAUUUUGUGUGUAAGUAUGACAUGUGUAGUGUUAUAGUGGCUUUUUCUUUCUUAUUUCAACUAAAUCUCCUUUUUGAUGUUGCUUUUGAUAUGACCCAAGUUUCUUAUAUCACGAUUACGACUCCUGAGUGAAGAAGUUUGUGCUUAUUUAGGUGGCGUAGUUAUCUCAUUUAAAUAAUUAUUCUAUACGACAACUACGAAUAUGAUAAUAAUGAUGUGAUUUGCCACUUUCUAUGUUUUAUUUGUUUAUAAGUCCACGUUAGAAUGCUUUAGGUUGAAAACAAAACAAAAGAGAAUUGAUAAAAGAAAUUAUAGUAGUAUAUAUUCUGCUUAUUUUAUCAUGACCGCAUAAAUAUUUUGAUAACGAAUAACUACAAACAUAAAUAUUCUGAGUUUAAUCCUUCUCAGGACUAAUUAUUAUUUAAAUUAAAAAGUCAAAUGCUGAUUUUGAAUAUAUAAAAAGAUUGUAUGUAAAAAUCUCAUAACUCUCAUACUUUGAAAAUAUUAUCAGUGUGUCAUCAUAUAACUUAAAAUUCAUAUAUUAUAUGUUGUGGAUAAAAGCUAAGAACCACAAACAUACGGAACCUUAAAAAGUUAUUCAUGCAAUUUGUAUGUUUUAUACACACAUCUUUGUAUAUGCCAAUUUUAAUAUGAAAGAUAAAGUCGAUAUAAUACCUUAUUUGAAGGGUGCAUUUUGCCGAUUAACCAAAUUCUCAAUAAGCCUUAAGAAUAUAACACUAGUAAGUGGGAAAUAAAGUCAAUAGCUAAAAACACUGUUUUUAUGUUUUACCCUUCUAACUAUAAACAUAAUAGUGUUAUAUUAUUUGUCUAUUUGUUAUACUUCCUGUAUAUAGGAUAAACACAUAAUAGUAUACUAUAAGAUUUUUUUUGUCAUCAUACUAGAAGAUAUAUGAUACUAUAUAUUGAUAGAUGUUAAUGAAACUAAAUUAAGUUAAGUAAUAAAUGAAAUUUAAAUGUAGGAAGAAUUUAUUGUUGAUCAAUGUUGUUUUAAACGAUUGAAUACUGAGAAUUUGAUUUGUCAAAAUAGUAUAAAACAAAUAAAAAAUAAUAUAGAGUUAUGGUAGAAUUAAUAACAGAGAAAUGUAUGACUACUGAGGAAAUAUAAACAUAUAGAAUAAAGCAACAUAUAUGUUCUAUAUAGUAUGAAAUAAAAAAUUUUAUGAUUAUCUAUCUAUAUUUUUGAAAAGUGUGUAAUUUCAAAAAUUCAAAUCAUGUUGUAUUUGAAAAAGAUUUAUACUUUUUGAGUUGAAUUUCAAAUUUUGUUUAUUAUAUAGUUUGAAGAAUAUAUAAGGAAUAUGGUCAUAGGGGAAAGACAUAAACAGAAGUAAACAUUUAAUGAAGUAAAUAAAAAGGGUGAUAUGAUAUACUUCCUCUGUUCCUAAAAGAUUAAUGUUUUGGAAAAAUAAUUUGUUUCAAAAAGAUGUAUAUUUUAUGUUUUCUAUGAGAAAAUUGUAAAUUUUAAGAAAAUUGAUUGGUUUUAUUAGAUUACUAUUGGUUAAAAGUUGUUGAAAAUUGAAAAUUAUAGAAAACGAUAAAUUUAUUAUAGUGAUUUAAUGUGUUUUCUUAAUAUGUGUGAAAACACUAAAAAUCUAUAUUUUAGGAACGGAGGGAGUAUAUGAUAGAGGAUGAUUUUUUGCUAAUUAUUAAAUAUAAUUUAUUUGAUGUAUAUAUACAAUGCAAUUUCCAUUAUUUGAAUUCGAGUUGGAAUGAUGCUCAAGAUUAAAGUGACUUUAUUUUCCAUGUUUUGCUUCUUACGAAGAAGAAAUCUUUGCUUUUUUAAACAUUGUGUGAGUAAUCAUUUAAUUGUAUGAUUAAAGCUACUUUUGACUUGAUUUCAGAAAAAAACAGCCAAUCUUCACCGGAGGUGUUAAAGCUGAAGGGUUUGUACGUUCUUUUUUUUUUUUUUUUUUUUGAGAAAUAGGUUUGUACGUUCUUUAUCGAAGAUUUGUGUCUCUCUAUUUUGAGUAAAUCAUCUUUUUAUUUCAUAAUAAUUAUGAUCAACAAAAUAAUACUCUACAAUAGUACAUAUCAAAACCAUGAAAGUCGAAAAUAAGGACUAUAACGGUUUAUAUUAGUAUUGUUAUUGUGUCAAUAGAUGUGCGAAGUGCUGAUAAAAAUGGAGUAGUUUGGUAGAUGGCAAGGAUCUUCAUUUUUUAAAACUUGUUAAAUAACACUACACUAUAUACAGUAAUAUUCAUAACACAGAUUUAACGGCAACAAAAACAUAGACCUAAAACGAUUGUAGGAUACACACCUGAAAACUUGCAUGUGUUUUGGCCCACAAGAUCUUAAACACACUGACCAAAAAUCACCAUUUUGUAACAUAUUAAUUUGUUAUGGAAAUUUCAAAUAAAAACGAUAUACGGAGCAUAACAACAUAGUUUGCUACAUCCUUUACCAAAAAAAAAAAAACAUAGUUUGCUACAUCCUUUACAAAAAAAAAACAUAGUUUGCUACAAUAUACAAAAUAAGUAUAAAGAUAUGAGGAAAUUAAAAGCCAUAUAAAUAAGUAAAAUAAAAAAAUCUAAAUUGAUGUUUAUAUAUCUGAAUGGAACCUACCGAUUACGUGAAAGUAAAGAUGAUCCAAUUAUCCAAACCAUACCAGAAUUGGCCGACACACGAAAGGCUAAAGCAUAUUCAUAGGGAAGCACUCUCUCUCUCUCUCUCUCUCACACUCUACAUAUAUAAGAUUAUUAUUUCUUUUUAUGCAAUGAUUGUACGAUCGACUAUUUUACAUGUAGCAUAAUAAGCUUCUUUUAGCAUGUAUUAGAAGUUAGAAUAAGCUAUAUACAUUUUAUAUAAUACAAUGGUAAAGUGGAGUUUAGUUGAUCUAAUGUUCACAAAAAGCUUGUUUGAUCUAAUUAACUUUGGUAUAAAUAUUUUUUGUUUUAUUUCUCUCUGGUAAGUUUGAAUUAUCCAUAUAUAAUAGAACCAUAUAUAAUAGAGCCAUAUAUAAUAUGUAGUUAUAAAUAAUAAUAUAAACAAAAUGUAUAUAUAUAUAUAUAUAUAUAUCAAGCUCAAAGACCCACAUUGUUGGGGGAGAAAGAAUCAAGAGUAAUUAGGCACUAUACACAUAGAAAUCGCUAUAAUUAGCGAAAUACCAUUUCACUGUAUAAAGCACUGUACAAACUUUUUUAAUACCGAAAGACCCCUACGUUCUUACUUUCAUAGCAUCUGGCUCUAGCACCCUAUGUGUCAGACAUCAGUAUAGAGCUAAACCUACCACACUCCAGCAAAUGUACUACGCUAACCCCCUCCCCCCCCCCCCCCCCAAAAAGACGCUGAGAGUAAUUAAAGAACCCUCAAUUACAUUAUUAUUUAGUUUAAUAUAUAUGUGGAAAGCCCUGUCUUUCUCUUUCACUUAUUCACUUUCUCAAGCUCUUCAUCCUUUCUCAUUUUUGAAGAAGUUACAAAAAUACUUUCAUCUCUGGGGUAGAGUAACCUUCGAGAUGCUUGCUACUGGAAUCAAGAAGAAGGACAAAGAAUUACUUUCACAACUCAGUGUUGCAUUACCUGGGGUCGUAGAUGCGAUUCAGCUUGUAUUCAUGGACGUCGUUCCCCAGAUUAAAGAGGUUUUCCCGUAGACAUAACAUGUUGUCUUGAUUGAAUCGGACAGUGAAACUGAGUCGGAAUGUAAUGACACCGCAGCAGAAGUAGAAGAAGAAACCGACGCCCCACCGUCUCCGCCAAAGACGCUGCGCUACUAUUUCAACCCAACUCACGUCAGAGACCUAGAUGAAGAAGCAAAGGUCUUAGAUGCAAUGGUGGUUUUCGCAUCCAGAGCCAGAUCAAAAAGAUAUCAACCCAAUCACCACCGUCGUCCCUCACAUCCUCAAUUCUGCAAGCCGGCAAGUGUCCACCAGUGCACCCUUUGUUCUGUCUAGGAUGAAGGGCAUCCCACAGAAUCCCAAUUCAAGGGACUCAACUGUUAUGACAGUGUUUCUCAUACAGGCCCACACUUCAAAUGGAAUGGAAAGAUGCAAAUAGGUCACUGAAGCUUCACUGCCUGCAAAACUCAUGGCCUUUCUGGUUUAUCAAGACAUAACACCAGCAUGAAAGAUCGAUGGAUUAUCACUUCUCUGAUUCGCUACUCCUUAUUCUUUUAAAAAAUUCUAUAUUUUUAAGCAUGAAACUCUUACUUUUUCUCGCUACUUGUUCUACAUUUAGAUGUUGUAUCCUCGCCCACAAACUAAUUUUGUGAUCUCACUAUCCCCUGUUAACUUCUAAGUUUACUUGUUCCAAUGAUUACUCAUA
This is a long non-coding RNA of Brassica rapa (field mustard), 4576 nucleotides long. RefSeq lists it as uncharacterized. NCBI's taxonomy places the organism in Eukaryota, Viridiplantae, Streptophyta, Magnoliopsida, Brassicales, Brassicaceae. The record is from RefSeq and is a predicted model, not a curated record.